CCCUUCCCGGUACGGGACCCCCACCUUCGCUCCCGGGAGCCCCGCUGCACCCCAGAGUUCCAUUCCUGCUUCCCCAGUGCGAGUGCGGCCGAGCGCUGACUUUUGGGGGCUCCCUUCCCCGUCUCACUGGGUCCCUCUGCGGCUCCCCCGCCCGCUGUCCCGCCUCAGACGUGGCUGCACCCCGGAGCGGGGCGCCGGCCGAGACCUGAGACGUGGCGAUGCCGCUCUGCCGGCCUCGGCUCCAGUGCUUGAAUUUCAGCCACAUCCCUAAGCUGCCAUCUCAGACCAGAGGAACAGGGAGGGGGCUUUCUGGAAAGAACAUCACCUGGAAGAAAUCAGGACAUGACUGUGGGCCAUGAGUGACCUUCAAGGAAAGCCAGGUCUGGAUUCCCACCUGGAAGUUGAUUGUGAUGGUGGAAAUACCAGGCACUUGUCGGGUGCAACGGCUCAUGCCUGUAAUCCCAGCACUUUGGGAGGUCGAGCAGGACAAUGUGAUUCCUUACUGAUAGAGGGAAUUCAGUUCCUCCAGGUCUGGCAGCCCUGAAGCUUCAUCCCUCAACAUUGCGGCCUAUGCAGCCAGUGCCCCUCCCCCUUUCUCCCACCCGGCUUUCCCAUCUGCAACCAAGCUUGUUGCACACCAUGUGCCAGACGUACGGCUGCACAUUCAAAAGAGAAUGAAAAGACACACAGAGGCGAUCCCUGCCCUUUCAGAAGUUACAGCUUACCGAGUUACAGCUUACUGAGUUAUGGAACCCACAAUUCUGGAGGCUGGAAAGUUCAAGAUCAAGGCACCAGCAGGUGAAGGCAGAGUCUCUGCUUCCAAGAUGGUGCCUCGUUUCUGCGUCCUCUGGAGGAGAGGAACACUGUGUCCACACAUGGCUGAAGAGCUGGAUGGAGAAAAGGGCCCAGCUAAUUCCCUCCAGCCCUUUUACAAGCCGCUAAUCCCACUUAUGAGAUCACAGCCCUUACAGCCUAAUCACCUCCGAAAGGCCCCACCUCUUAAUACUGUUGGAUUGAGAAUUAACUUUCAACAUGAAUUUUUGGGAGGAUACAGUCAAACCAUAGCAUUCUUCCCCUGCCCCCUCGAAAUUCAUGUCCUCAUAUAGAAAAUUCAUCCCAAAAUUGAUAACUUAUUGCCAAAAUUCUUAACGUGUUCCAGCAUUAACUUUAAAGUCUUAAGUCCAAGGUCUCAUUUAAACAUGAUCUAUAUCAGAUACAGCUGAGACUGAAGGUACAAUUCAUCCUAAGGCAAACUCCUCCAGCUCUGAGCCUAUGAAAUCAAACAAGUGAUGUGCUUCCAAAAUACGGUAGUGGUACAGGCAUAGGAUAACAUUCCCAUUCAGGAAGGGAGAAAUGGGCAAGAAGAAAGUGUCACAGGCCCCAUGGAAGUCCAAAACCCAACAAGGCAAACUGUUAAAUCUUGAGGUUUGAGAAUGGUCUUUUUUGAGUCCAUGUUCAUCCGUACACACUGGGGCAAGGGUUGGACAUCCAAGGGUCCAACCAGCCCUACCCCCAUGGCUUUGCUGGGCACAGCCCAUGCUGUAGCUCUCACAAGUUGGAGUCUAGUGCCUGUAGCUCUCCUAGGCUGGCAUUGCACACUGGUGGCUCUACCAGUUUGGGAUCUCGGGGGCAACCCUGACCCCACAGCUCUGCUGGUCAUUACCCUAGUAGGCACCCUCUGCACCUAUCUCACCUUUGGGACAGUGCUCUGGGCUCUCCAAGACAUCUUUUGAAAUCUACAUGGAGAUAGCCAUGACUCCACAGCUCAUACACUCUAUAUAAAUGCAGAGUUGGCACUUCAAGAAUGUCACCAAGGCUUAUUACUUGUACCUUUCAGAAGGGUGGCCCAAGCCACAUCUGAGCCCACUUGAGCCCCAGCUGGAGCAGCUAAAAAGCACUGUGUUAGAAUGCGGGGAACAAAUAUCUGAGGAGGCCGCAGGCAGUGAGCCCUGAGGUGCCACAGGUGCCCUGGGCCCCUCCCUUGAAACCUUUCUGACUUGAAGGCCCUGGUACUCUGGGAUCAUGAUGGGAGCGGCAGCCUCAAAGAUUGAAAUGCCUCUGGAAUCAUUCUUCUAUUAUCCGGAUAAAUAGCGUCUGGCUUCCUUAUAGCCACACUAAUAUCAUAUCAAACGUUAUGUUUGCUUAGCCAUGCCCUUGGUAUUCUCUGAAUAUUCAUUUGCAAUUACUAUUCAGAGGGCUGAGCAUGCCCUUUGAACCUUUACAACCUGGAAAGACUGAAAAUUUUCCAUAUCUUUAAGUUCUGCUUCCCUUUUUAUUGUAAAUUCAUUUUUAAUUCAUUUCUCUUCUCUUGCAUUUUAUGAUAAACAGUCAAGAAAAGCCAUGUAGUACCUUGAACACUUUGCUUAGAGAUUUCUUUCACCAAAUAUCCUAGUAUAUCACUCUUAAAUUCUGCCCUCCACGGAGCACUAGAAUGCAGACACAAUUCAGCCAAGUUCUUUGCCACUUUAUAACAAAGAUAGCCUUUCCUCCAGUUUCCAGAACAUUUCCAUCUGACACCUCACCAAAAUGACCUUUAGCAUCCAUAUUUCUACCAACAUUUUGAUUACAAUCUUUUACAUAAUCUCCAAGAAGACUGAGGCUCUGUCUAUAACUCUUCUUCUGAGCCUUUACCUUUGACAGUCCAUUUAUGGAAAUCUAGGCUUUUUCUAGCCUACUUUGCCAAACUCAGCCUCUACCCAUUACCCAGUUCCAAAGUUGCUUCCACAUUUUCAGGUAUUCACUACAGCAGCACCCCACUACUCAUUACUAAUUUCUGUUUUAGUUCAUUCCAGGUUGCUAUAACAAAAACCUUAAGCUGGUUACUUUAUAAAUAAUAGAAAUAUAUUUCUCAUGGUUCUGAAGACUGAGAAGUCCAAGAUCAAAUCACCAGUAGGUUCAGUAUCUGGUCAUUGCUUCCAAGGCAAAAUUAAUCCUUAUUUUAUUAUCAGCAUUCCAGUGAAUAGAAGAAUCAUAGGCCAAAUACUAACAAAUUCAAGGAUGUUUUAUCAUUAGAAAAUAUGCUAAUAUAAAUCACCUCAUCAACAAAUUUUUAAAAAACCAUAUGAUUAUUUCAAUAGCUGCAGAAUAUGUUUUGAUAAAAUUAAACAUGUGUUUGUCAUUCAAAAAAAAAACCUCUUAGCUAACUAGUAAUAGAAGGGAAUUUACCUAAAUUGACAGACUAUCUACCAAAAAAAAAAAAAAAA
This 3203-nucleotide long non-coding RNA is filed under the name Macaca mulatta (Rhesus monkey). RNAcentral describes it as "lncRNA (ENSMMUG00000059940.1)". Lineage: Eukaryota; Metazoa; Chordata; Mammalia; Primates; Cercopithecidae. The record is from RNAcentral.